UACGUAGGGGGCUAGCGUUGUCCGGAAUCAUUGGGCGUAAAGCGCGCGUAGGCGGCCGCUUAAGUCGGAUGUGAAAGCCCCUGGCUCAACUGGGGAAGUGCACCCGAAACUGAGUGGCUUGAGUACUAAAGAGGGUCGCGGAAUUCCCGGUGUAGAGGUGAAAUUCGUAGAUAUCGGGAGGAACACCGGUGGCGAAGGCGGCGACCUGGGUCGAGACUGACGCUGAGGCGCGAAAGCGUGGGGAGCAAACAGG
This 253-nucleotide ribosomal RNA is filed under the name uncultured bacterium. RNAcentral's name for it is "partial 16S ribosomal RNA". It matches the Rfam family "Bacterial small subunit ribosomal RNA", at positions 524 to 776 of the family's 1533-position model. The record is from RNAcentral.